This 1082-nucleotide long non-coding RNA is filed under the name Anser brachyrhynchus (Pink-footed goose). Its description in RNAcentral is "lncRNA (ENSABRG00000002434.1)". The record is from RNAcentral. Lineage: Eukaryota; Metazoa; Chordata; Aves; Anseriformes; Anatidae.
AGCAUUAGCUCAUUUUAGGGAGGAUACUGGGCAGGAUUAGGGAAUCGUGUGGGAUUAGGGAUGUAAUAAAACGGUAUUUGGGGGAUUAUUGGCGGGAUUAGGAAAUUUGAUGGGAUUAGGCGAGUUUAGUGGGGAUAAUGGGUGACAUUAAAGGGAUUAUGAGUGGGACUAGGGGAAUUAUGUGGGAUUAGGAGUGCAAUUAGACGGGUUUAGGGGAAUGAUGUGGGAUGAGGCAAUGUUGGGGGGACCAGGGGGAUUAGAGGCACGAUAAAGGGGAUUAUAUAGGAUUAGGGGUGUGAUUGGGGGGGAUUAAGGAGAUUUUUGGUGGGAUUAAGGGAAUUUUGUGGGAUUAGAGGGGACAAUGGGUGGGAUUAGGGGGAUCAUGGGCGGGAUUAGGGGUAUUAUCUGGGGUUAGGUGUGGGAUUAGUAGAUUAUGGGCAGGAUGAGGGGGAUUAUCUGGGAUUAGGGGCGUAAUAAAGUGGGAUUUGAGGGAUUAGGGGCGGGAUCCUUGGGUUCCAUGAAGGGCGGCCAUCUUGGGCGGUGGCCAUCUUGGGUGGCCAUCUUGGGCGGCCAUUUUGGUCAGUGGCCAUCUUGGCUGGCCAUUUUAGGUAGCCAUUUUCGGUAGCCAUCCAGGGCGGCCAUUUUGGGUAGCCAUCUUGGGCAGCCAUUUUGGGUAGCCAUUUUAGGUAGCCCCAUUGGGCAACCACCUUGGGCGGCCAUCUUGGCUGGUGGCCAUUUUGGGUGGUAGCCACUUUAGGUAGCCCCAUUGGACAACCACCUUGGGCAGCCAUCUUGGGGGCAGCCAUCUUGGGGGCAGCCAUCUUGGGCGGCAGCCAUCUUGGGUGGCGGCCAUCUUGGGCAGCAGCCAUCUUGGGUGGCAGCCAUCUUGGGCGGCCAUUUUGGGCAGCCAUUUUCAGUAGCCCCUUCGGGCAACCCCCCUGGGAUUUGGGCUACCGGGGUAGGCCGGGUGGGCACGCACCGGGGAAGAGGAGGCGGGCGGCCAUGCCGGGCAGCACCAUGAGGAAGACGGGCAGCACCUUCAGGUACCCGCAGAGCACGCAGCCCGCCCGCACGUGCAGCAG